CGAGCUUCCCAGCCCGCGGCAACCCCGAGGCGGGACUCCCAGACCCCCUGAUUAAAUUUUAGGGUUUUCCAGCGGUACAACUGUGCAAAUGGGAGCGGUCAGGCCGAGGCCGGCUUCGCUUCGCCCCUCUGCUGCUACGCGGAGCCUCUCCCGCCCGAGGCACUGUCUAGAAACUCAAAAUCCCCGGAAUCCCGUGCAUGACUUGGACACCAAGUUUUUCGACCCUGGGCAACCUCGAAUGGAGAACCGAGUCCCUCAGGAGACAUCCCAUGUCCCUUUCUCACCCACCCAUUCUAAUCUGCCCCAACUGCUUCCUCUUGUGCACAUUUAUCUCCCUGAGCUCCUUCCUUGGCUUCGUUCUUGGGUCCUGCUCCCACGCACGGACUUCCUAAACAAGUCGGAUCACUUUUCCAGGAGAUCCGUUGUAUAACUGUGGUUGCGAUUAAGAUCUUUCCAGGUCUUUUUCUCUAAUCAGCGCCAGUUCUCCCAAACCGUCCUCCACUGGGGAGCAAGAAUCUCAUAUGUACCAGUUACAAGCCCGCACCUCUUUUUUCCCUCGCUUUUAUGCUUGUUUUGAUUGCAAACCACCAAUUGAGAAGGACUAGGAUUCCAGUGUGCAGUUAUUGCCAUCAAGACAUGAUCUACCUGAACCAUCUGCAUAUUGAUAAACAUAAAACCAUUUUUUUCCCAGUCUCAGCUGCAGUAAGUUCCCCGGUGAGGAAUUCCCUAUGGAUCCCACUGUCUGGCAUUGCUGGGCAGACUCUCUGAAAAUGACUGCGUCUGUGUGGGUUGAUUCCGUUGCAAUGUUGAGGACUCACUAUUCUACUUUGUGAGGGGUCUGGACUAGAUGGUCAGAUGACCUGUUCCAGAUUCGGUAUCUGCACUGCCUCUGGUUAGAUCCUCUGGCCUGCCUUUAAGGAAACAGGCUUUCUUAGACCUCCAGGGGGCAGCCCUAUACCAGCUGUUAUGAGGGACAGGGUCGGAUUGUUGGGAGGAAGAGGAUAGGAUUUCUAUCCCUUGCUCAGGCAGACGGCGGCACCAAACAAAGAGUUGCUGAUGAAGACACCUGCACAGCACCCUUCAGGACAGGCAUGGGGUGGGGCAGAGAUGAGCCAUCUUUUUUUUAUUAUUAAUAUUAUGUUAUGUUAAUCACCAUACAUUACAUCAUUAGUUUUUGUUUUGUUUUGUUUUGUUUUACAUCAUUAGUUUUAGAAGGCUAACCCAUCCCCCCACCCCCCUCCCCUCUAGAACCCUCAGUUUGUUUCUCAGAGUCCAUAGCCUCUCAUGGUUCGUCUCCCCCUCCGAUUUCCCCCCUUCAUUCUUCCCCUCCUGCUAUCAUCUUCUUCUUCUUCUUGUGUCUACACUUUGCAUGUGUGUGUGCGUGUAUGUGUUUGAGUG
This is a long non-coding RNA of Mirounga angustirostris (Northern elephant seal), 1398 nucleotides long. RefSeq lists it as uncharacterized. The record is from RefSeq and is a predicted model, not a curated record. NCBI's taxonomy places the organism in Eukaryota, Metazoa, Chordata, Mammalia, Carnivora, Phocidae. The transcript is spliced from 3 exons.